ACUCCUACGGGAGGCAGCAGUGGGAAUCUUAGACAAUGGGCGCAAGCCUGAUCUAGCCAUGCCGCGUGUGUGACGAAGGCCUUAGGGUCGUAAAGCACUUUCGCCAGGGAUGAUAAUGACAGUACCUGGUAAAGAAACCCCGCCGUACAUCCGUGCCAGCAGCCGCGGUAAUACGGAGGGGGUUAGCGUUGUUCGGAAUUACUGGGCGUAAAGCGCGCGUA
RNAcentral lists this ribosomal RNA (221 nucleotides) under uncultured bacterium. RNAcentral's name for it is "partial 16S ribosomal RNA". It matches the Rfam family "Bacterial small subunit ribosomal RNA", at positions 335 to 573 of the family's 1533-position model. The record is from RNAcentral.